GAUGAACGCUGGCGGCGUGCCUAAUACAUGCAAGUAGAACGCUGAAGCUUGGUGCUUGCACCGAGCGGAUGAGUUGCAAACGGGUGAGUAACGCGUAGGUAACCUGCCUCUUAGCGGGGGAUAACUAUUGGAAACGAUAGCUAAUACCGCAUAAAAGUUGACAUUGCAUGAUGUUGAUUUGAAAUAUGCAAUUGCAUCACUAAGAGAUGGACCUGCGUUGUAUUAGCUAGUUGGUGAAGUAACGGCUCACCAAGGCGACGAUACAUAGCCGACCUGAGAGGGUGAUCGGCCACACUGGGACUGAGACACGGCCCAGACUCCUACGGGAGGCAGCAGAAGGGAAUCUUCGGCAAUGGACGGAAGUCUGACCGAGAAACGCCGCGUGAGUGAAGAAGGUUUUCGGAUCGUAAAGCGCUGUUGUAAGAGAAGAAAGAGUGUGAGAGUGGAAAGUUCACACUGUGACGGUAACUUACCAGAAAGGGACGGCUAACUACGUG
Molecule: ribosomal RNA, 497 nt
Filed under: uncultured bacterium
Lineage: Bacteria
Description: partial 16S ribosomal RNA
Rfam family: Bacterial small subunit ribosomal RNA
Source: RNAcentral